Molecule: long non-coding RNA, 1040 nt
Filed under: Gallus gallus (chicken)
Lineage: Eukaryota; Metazoa; Chordata; Aves; Galliformes; Phasianidae
Source: RNAcentral
CAGAGACUGUAAAAAAAAAACCUUAAGAGUCUUCUGAGAAGAGCAAUUACAGAUGCUGCUGGAAAUAGAAUCACAGGUACUGGAAGGAACUGAGAGUCAGUUCGCUUUGAUGGGGGGAAUGAGCCUCUGAGGGAGCCUCUGUCCCUUUCAGAUAUCCUUGAUGACCUCUUCCAGCUCCUCUUUCGUGUACAUGUGGAACUUCAUGCCCGGCUCCACGGUGGCGAGCUCAAUGUUGGUUGCAUUCAGUUUCUCCUCCAUAACUUGCUUCAGGAUGACGAGGGAAGAUUUGAUUGCUUCUUUCAGCGUCAUGGACUUAUGGUACACCUCCUGCAGUGAGCUCUGCGCUCCUUCCGAGGCGGACCCGAUGGCUCUGGCAUCGCACUGCACGAACGUCCCCGAGGGGUCCAUGUGAAACAGCUGAGGUCCCUUCUCAUCAACUCCUCCAAAAAGCAGCGCGACACCAAAUGGACGAGACAUUGCACCGGGGUCUGCAUCCUCCUCCCCAAACUGCAGCGCCAGGUUGGACACAGCCUGCGUCACGCUCUCCACAGUCAUGGUUUCAUUGUAAGUGAACCAGUGAUUCUGUGUUUCCACUCUUGCUUUAUCAAUCAAAGUCUUGGCAUCCGCUAUUAAGCCGCUCAUGGCACACCCUAUAUGGGAAUCUAUUUCUACAAUCUUCUCAAUGCUGCUGGGCUCCAUGAGUGGGGAGGUGAUCCUCUUCUCCACAGCCAGGCACACGCCCUCCGAGGUCUGGAUGCCGAUGGCCGUAGAGCCGAGCUUAAUGGCCUCGAUGGCAUACUCCACUUGGAACAGCCUCCCCUCCGGAGAGAAAGUGUUCACGCCCCGGUCGUACUCAGAGCGCGUGAGAAACAUGGUGAUGGUGAUGGUGGUGGCGGCGGCGGGGGGCGCGGGGUCGGUGCGGGGGAGGCGCGGCGGCGGCAGCGGAACCGGAGCCGCUCUGCCCUCGCCGGGUUCGCAUCCACUUCCUGCCAACGGCCCGCAACGCGCACGCGCCGCCCCGCCUCCCUGCGUCACUUCCC